RNAcentral lists this ribosomal RNA (468 nucleotides) under uncultured bacterium. Its description in RNAcentral is "partial 16S ribosomal RNA". It matches the Rfam family "Bacterial small subunit ribosomal RNA", at positions 28 to 523 of the family's 1533-position model. The record is from RNAcentral.
GAUGAACGCUGGCGGCGUGCCUAACACAUGCAAGUCGAGCGAAUUACUUAGGUGAAGAGCGGCGGACGGGUGAGUAACGCGUGGGUAACCUGCCCUGUACACACGGAUAACAUACCGAAAGGUAUGCUAAUACGGGAUAAUAUGCUUUAGUCGCAUGGCUGAAGUAUUAAAGCUCCGGCGGUACAGGAUGGACCCGCGUCUGAUUAGCUAGUUGGUAAGGUAACGGCUUACCAAGGCGACGAUCAGUAGCCGACCUGAGAGGGAGAUCGGCCACAUUGGAACUGAGACAAGGUCCAAACUCCUACGGGAGGCAGCAGUGGGGAAUAUUGCACAAUGGGCGAAGGCCUGAUGCAGCAACGCCGCGUGAGCGAUGAAGGCCUUCGGGUCGUAAAGCUCUGUCCUCAAGGAAGAUAAUGACGGUACUUGAGGAGGAAGCCCCGGCUAACUACGUGCCAGCCGCCGCAGUAA